AAAUGCCCCUUCCAUCAUCGUCUCCUGUCUCCUUCUCCUUUGUUGUUUGCAGUUUAAUCACCUAUGCUUCAUCUCUCCGCUCCAUCGUCCUCAAUUCCGUCACUGUCUCCAUCUCAUGAAGAUGUCAUUAAAAUCAGAUUACAUUGGAAUUCCAUUGAUGAAUUGUGUUGGUAAGACCCAGUGACCUAUAGAAAGGUCUAUAUACCCUUCCUUCACCAUCGCUUCACUGGUAUUAAGUCUAGGAGGAGAAGAUGCUGAAGGGGACCCUGGAUGUGAGAUUGCUCCUCAUUGUAGAGACACAGGGACAUGCCACUGCGGGCUCUGUUCUUAAGAUCUAACUUUUGUGGAAACUUUUCCACGAUUAGUUGGUUCUCAAAUUACUCAUGGAGAUAGCAUUCACCAGAAGUGGAAGCAACUUAGUAUUAACUUUGUGUCUGCAUUUACCGAUACAAAUUACUUAUUCCCCCACAUGCAAUCUUCUCAUUUCUAAGCAUACUGUGGUGCACAUCGAAAUCUAUGGGGUACAGAUUUAUUCCGCCUCAACCCUUCCAUUCCGGCAUUUUACACAGCUUCCAAGAUUAAGGAGUGGUUUAGUCGGUUUGAGUACAGACACAAGUGAAGGCAUUUUGUGUCCUGGAUAGCACUCGAGGAUAUCUUUGUCCAUUGUUCAUUCUGAUAAUUAUUUAUUUUCUGCUUCAUGGAAUCAGAGAUGCAUAGCCUUGUAGUCACAGGUUGGCAAAGUUUAGAGGAGCUUUCCUUUGGAAUGGAGAUCCUUAUGCCAAAGAGGGAGCAAAAGCUAGAUGGAACACUUUCUGUCCUAAGCAGUUUGGAGGACUUGGCAUUUGAAGAUCGGAUUUGUGAAAUCAAUUUGUAGUUUAAAUUGUCUGUGGAGUAUUUUGUUGAGUUGUGGUCUGUAAGUGUUUUGUCUGGCUCUCUAGCUAUCAUCUUGACUGUAAACCAGAUGCUACUUAUGCUUGGAAGAGUUAAUUAAAAGUCAGGAACAAUUUGAAAUCCCACAUUAUACAAAUAGUGGAUAAUGGAGAUAAUAUUUCUCUUUGGUAUGAAUUCUGGCACUAUGCCGGAAUCAUUCUCGAUGAGAAUAAUUUAUGAAUCUUCUCUUCUCUUCUCUGCAGGCCAAAGGAUCGGCUGCAAUACGUAACUCUCAUUGGAAAUGCCUGCUGCUAGGUCUGAAGGGUUGGUUCCCAUACAAGCUGCAAUUUGUG
Long non-coding RNA from Eucalyptus grandis, 1223 nucleotides. RefSeq lists it as uncharacterized. Lineage: Eukaryota; Viridiplantae; Streptophyta; Magnoliopsida; Myrtales; Myrtaceae. The record is from RefSeq and is a predicted model, not a curated record. The transcript is spliced from 4 exons.